This 583-nucleotide ribosomal RNA is filed under the name Colletotrichum gloeosporioides. RNAcentral's name for it is "eukaryotic LSU rRNA". It matches the Rfam family "Eukaryotic large subunit ribosomal RNA", at positions 1 to 593 of the family's 3401-position model. The record is from RNAcentral. Lineage: Eukaryota; Fungi; Ascomycota; Sordariomycetes; Glomerellales; Glomerellaceae.
GUUGACCUCGGAUCAGGUAGGAAUACCCGCUGAACUUAAGCAUAUCAAUAAGCGGAGGAAAAGAAACCAACAGGGAUUGCCUCAGUAACGGCGAGUGAAGCGGCAACAGCUCAAAUUUGAAAUCUGGCCCUAGGCCCGAGUUGUAAUUUGCAGAGGAUGCUUUUGGUGCGGUGCCUUCCAAGUUCCCUAGAACGGGACGCCAGAGAGGGUGAGAGCCCCGUACAGUUGGACACCAAGCCUUUGUAAAGCUCCUUCGACGAGUCGAGUAGUUUGGGAAUGCUGCUCAAAAUGGGAGGUAUAUUUCUUCUAAAGCUAAAUACCGGCCAGAGACCGAUAGCGCACAAGUAGAGUGAUCGAAAGAUGAAAAGCACUUUGAAAAGAGGGUUAAACAGCACGUGAAAUUGUUAAAAGGGAAGCGCUUGUGACCAGACUUGCGUCCGGUGAAUCACCCAGCUCUCGCGGCUGGGGCACUUCGCCGGCUCAGGCCAGCAUCAGCUCGCUGUCGGGGACAAAAGCUUCAGGAACGUAGCUCUCUUCGGGGAGUGUUAUAGCCUGUUGCAUAAUACCCUUCGGCGGGCUGAGG